This is a non-coding RNA of Ornithorhynchus anatinus (platypus), 110 nucleotides long. RefSeq annotates it as microRNA mir-181b-1. The record is from RefSeq and is marked provisional. The transcript has a single exon. NCBI's taxonomy places the organism in Eukaryota, Metazoa, Chordata, Mammalia, Monotremata, Ornithorhynchidae.
UGCAGAGUUUAACAAAGGUCCCAAUGAACAUUCAUUGCUGUCGGUGGGUUUAACUCUGAGGACAAGCUCACUGAACAAUGAAUGGAACUGUGGCUCACCUUAGGCAACCA